Molecule: unclassified non-coding RNA, 347 nt
Filed under: soil metagenome
Description: partial contains 5.8S ribosomal RNA, internal transcribed spacer 2, and large subunit ribosomal RNA
Rfam family: 5.8S ribosomal RNA (bases 1-120)
Source: RNAcentral
GAUGAAGAACGCAGCGAAAUGCGAUAAGUAAUGUGAAUUGCAGAAUUCAGUGAAUCAUCGAAUCUUUGAACGCACAUUGCGCCCGCUAGUAUUCUGGCGGGCAUGCCUGUCCGAGCGUCAUUUCAACCCUCAAGCCCCCGGGCUUGGUGUUGGGGAUCGGCCAAAGCCCGCGAGGGACGGCCGGCCCCUAAAUCUAGUGGCGGACCCGUCGUGGCCUCCUCUGCGAAGUAGUGAUAUUCCGCAUCGGAGAGCGACGAGCCCCUGCCGUUAAACCCCCAACUUUCCAAGGUUGACCUCAGAUCAGGUAGGAAUACCCGCUGAACUUAAGCAUAUCAAUAAGCGGAGGA